AGUGAACGCUGGCGGUAGGCCUAACACAUGCAAGUCGAACGGCAGCACAGUAAGAGCUUGCUCUUACGGGUGGCGAGUGGCGGACGGGUGAGGAAUACAUCGGAAUCUACUUUUUCGUGGGGGAUAACGUAGGGAAACUUACGCUAAUACCGCAUACGACCUACGGGUGAAAGCAGGGGAUCUUCGGACCUUGCGCGAUUGAAUUAGCCGAUGUCGGAGUAGCUAGUUGGCGGGGUAAAGGCCCACCAAGGCGACGAUCCGUAGCUGGUCUGAGAGGAUGGUCAGCCACACUGGAACUGAGACACGGUCCAGACUCCUACGGGAGGCAGCAGUGGGGAAUAUGGGACAAUGGGCGCAAGCCUGAUCCAGCCAUACCGCGUGGGUGAAGAAGGCCUUCGGGUUGUAAAGCCCUUUUGUUGGGAAGGAAAAGCAGCAGGUUAAUACCCCGCUGUUCUGACGGUACCCAAAGAAUAAGCACCGGCUAACUUCGUG
This 492-nucleotide ribosomal RNA is filed under the name uncultured bacterium. Its description in RNAcentral is "partial 16S ribosomal RNA". It matches the Rfam family "Bacterial small subunit ribosomal RNA", at positions 29 to 507 of the family's 1533-position model. The record is from RNAcentral.